GAAAGUUUAGAAAUAUUCCAGAAUGAAGUAGCUCGGCAAUUAAUAAGUGAAAAAGGUACAAUAAACUUUUUACAUGCCGAUUGUGACAAAUUUAGACAUCCUCUUCUGCACAUACAGAAAACUCCAGCAGAUUGUCCUGUAAUCGCUAUUGACAGCUUUAGGCAUAUGUAUGUGUUUGGAGACUUCAAAGAUGUAUUAAUUCCUGGAAAACUCAAGCAAUUCGUAUUUGACUUACAUUCUGGAAAACUGCACAGAGAAUUCCAUCAUGGACCUGACCCAACUGAUACAGCCCCAGGAGAGCAAGCCCAAGAUGUAGCAAGCAGUCCACCUGAGAGCUCCUUCCAGAAACUAGCACCCAGUGAAUAUAGGUAUACUCUAUUGAGGGAUCGAGAUGAGCUUUAAAAACUUGAAAAACAGUUUGUAAGCCUUUCAACAGCAGCAUCAACCUACGUGGUGGAAAUAGUAAACCUAUAUUUUCAUAAUUCUAUGUGUAUUUUUAUUUUGAAUAAACAGAAAGAAAUUUUGGGUUUUUAAUUUUUUUCUCCCCGACUCAAAAUGCAUUGUCAUUUAAUAUAGUAGCCUCUUAAAAAAAAAAAACCUGCUAGGAUUUAAAAAUAAAAAUCAGAGGCCUAUCUCCACUUUAAAUCUGUCCUGUAAAAGUUUUAUAAAUCAAAUGAAAGGUGACAUUGCCAGAAACUUACCAUUAACUUGCACUACUAGGGUAGGGAGGACUUAGGGAUGUUUCCUGUGUCGUAUGUGCUUUUCUUUCUUUCAUAUGAUCAAUUCUGUUGGUAUUUUCAGUAUCUCAUUUCUCAAAGCUAAAGAGAUAUACAUUCUGGAUACUUGGGAGGGGAAUAAAUUAAAGUUU
Molecule: long non-coding RNA, 868 nt
Filed under: Homo sapiens (human)
Lineage: Eukaryota; Metazoa; Chordata; Mammalia; Primates; Hominidae
Description: HSALNT0153113
Source: RNAcentral